CGGGUGAGUAACACGUGGUCAACCUACCUCUGUGUGGGGGAUAACUAGCCGAAAGGUUAGCUAAUACCGCAUACGAUCGUUUGAGGGCAUCUUCGAACGAUGAAAGGAGUAAUCCGCACGGAGAGGGGACUGCGUCCCAUUAGUUAGUUGGUAGGGUAACGGCCUACCAAGACUCCGAUGGGUAGCUGGCUUGAGAGAGCGACCAGCCACACUGGAACUGAGACACGGUCCAG
This 233-nucleotide ribosomal RNA is filed under the name uncultured bacterium. Its description in RNAcentral is "partial 16S ribosomal RNA". It matches the Rfam family "Bacterial small subunit ribosomal RNA", at positions 103 to 334 of the family's 1533-position model. The record is from RNAcentral.